RNAcentral lists this long non-coding RNA (215 nucleotides) under Elaeis guineensis (African oil palm). Its description in RNAcentral is "long non-coding RNA (EGUI_LNC016323)". Lineage: Eukaryota; Viridiplantae; Streptophyta; Magnoliopsida; Arecales; Arecaceae. The record is from RNAcentral.
UGCUGGAGGGAAAGAAGGGGAGGAGAGGAUAUUAUUAUUUGGCAGGGAGCCCAGUGCGAGGUAGAGCUUCGAGAGCCAAGUGGAGCUCAGAGCGAGGUGGAGCUUCAGGUGGAGGUGGAUCGGGCACGAGACGGGAGAUUUAGGAGGAUGAGAGGUGACGUCGCAAGGUGAGAUUCCUAUUGCCGCAGGACGAUGCCUCGAGUAAGUCUCAGGUC